AAACAGGAACAUAAGAACUAAAAGUUUAAAGGUAUAGCGCGUAGUUUCUGUCGUUCCCAUGAGGAAUUCUAAGUAAUGACAACAACACUGUCAGCGCAUCCACACAAUGCAAGCCUUCGGUGAUUCCCACCCCCACCCCUCCUCCAUUCAGUUGAUAGUAGUUUAUCCUGUCAAAUCAAGGAGGACAUGGAGGUUUAAAAAAAACAUGACUGACUCUUCAGAAGAGGUAAUUAUCUUGUAAUUGUUAUGUCAUCCUUGUCUCCAAAGCUGAACGCUGAUGUUUUCCUUU
Long non-coding RNA from Etheostoma spectabile (orangethroat darter), 289 nucleotides. RefSeq lists it as uncharacterized. The transcript has 4 exons. The record is from RefSeq and is a predicted model, not a curated record. NCBI's taxonomy places the organism in Eukaryota, Metazoa, Chordata, Actinopteri, Perciformes, Percidae.